GCAGUUGGCCGGUCUGUCGCGUGCAUGUUUCGUGCAGGAGGAAAGUCCGGGCAACAUAGAGCAUCCUACUUCCUAACAGAAAGCUGUCCGCGAGGGUAGAGUAACGUAGAAGAAAAUAACCGCCGCUCCUUUCGGGGAGAGGUAAGGGUGAGAAGGUGGGGUAAGAGCCCACCAGUCGCAUGGCGACAUGCGGGCUGUACGUCUUAGGAGUUGUAAGGUCAUGUAAACCGGCGUUAUGAGAGUUGCUCGCUCCAUGUCGGAGGGUAGACCGCUAAAGUGUCGUGGUGACACGCCACUCAGAUAAAUGACAGGCACCUGAUAUAAUUAAAGAUUAAUAAUCGGAAAUUAUAUGGGGUACAGAACUCGGCUUAUAGGCUGACUGCUUUU
RNAcentral lists this RNase P RNA (387 nucleotides) under Bacteroides ovatus. Its description in RNAcentral is "RNase P RNA component class A". It matches the Rfam family "Bacterial RNase P class A". Rfam says of the family: Ribonuclease P (RNase P) is a ubiquitous endoribonuclease, found in archaea, bacteria and eukarya as well as chloroplasts and mitochondria. Its best characterised activity is the generation of mature 5'-ends of tRNAs by cleaving the 5'-leader elements of precursor-tRNAs. The record is from RNAcentral. RNAcentral also lists the same sequence under 8 other names. Lineage: Bacteria; Pseudomonadati; Bacteroidota; Bacteroidia; Bacteroidales; Bacteroidaceae.